CUACGUGCCAGCAGCCGCGGUAAUACGUAGGGCGCGAGCGUUGUCCGGAAUUAUUGGGCGUAAAGAGCUUGUAGGCGGUUUGUCGCGUCUGCUGUGAAAGGCCGGAGCUUAACUCCGUGUAUUGCAGUGGGUACGGGCAGACUAGAGUGCAGUAGGGGAGACUGGAAUUCCUGGUGUAGCGGUGGAAUGCGCAGAUAUCAGGAGGAACACCGAUGGCGAAGGCAGGUCUCUGGGCUGUAACUGACGCUGAGAAGCGAAAGCAUGGGGAGCGAACAGGAUUAGAUACCCUGGUAGUCCAUGCCGUAAACGUUGGGCACUAGGUGUGGGGGACAUUCCACGUUUUCCGCGCCGUAGCUAACGCAUUAAGUGCCCCGCCUGGGGAGUACGGCCGCAAGGCUAAAACUCAAAGAAAUUGACGGGGGCCCGCMCAAGCGGCGGAGCAUGCGGAUUAAUUCGAUGCAACGCGAAGAMCCUUACCAAGGCUUGACAU
RNAcentral lists this ribosomal RNA (490 nucleotides) under uncultured bacterium. Its description in RNAcentral is "bacterial SSU rRNA". It matches the Rfam family "Bacterial small subunit ribosomal RNA", at positions 501 to 987 of the family's 1533-position model. The record is from RNAcentral.